Molecule: ribosomal RNA, 253 nt
Filed under: uncultured bacterium
Lineage: Bacteria
Description: partial 16S ribosomal RNA
Rfam family: Bacterial small subunit ribosomal RNA
Source: RNAcentral
UACGGGGGGUGCAAGCGUUGUCCGGAAUCACUGGGCGUAAAGGGCGCGUAGGCGGCUCGUUAAGUCGGGUGUGAAAACUCUGGGCUCAACCCAGAGCCUGCAUUCGAAACUGACGAGCUAGAGUUCUGGAGGGGAAAGCGGAAUUCCUGGUGUAGCGGUGAAAUGCGUAGAUAUCAGGAGGAACACCGGUGGCGAAGGCGGCUUUCUGGACAGAAACUGACGCUGAGGCGCGAAAGCUAGGGGAGCAAACAGG